UCUUCCCCUGCCUGUGGAGUCUGCACAACAGAUUUGUGCCCUCCCAUGAGUUCUGGCCAGGAGGCUUCUCGCCCUGUUCAAAUUGUUACAAAGUUCAACUAUAGAUUUCUUUCUUCCUGUGGAGUUUCAACACCUGCUCCUCUGGCCACCCUCACAAUGGAUCCCUGUGGUGCCAAGCAGGAAUGGCCUGUUUGGGCACCCAGUGAGCUCCCAGGGCCUUUCUACUGCUUCCUCAAACCCUGUAUUUUGCUCAGCUCUCUAAAUGGAUUCAACUCCAGAGAAGAGACCUGGAACCAAACCCAGAACUUCACUUCCCUGUGCCAGAAGGAUUCCAGUGAGCUUUUCCCACAGGCCCUACAGUCUUCUCCAGGUGAACCUCGGUCACUAUCUAUAUUUAUUAAUGGUUUCUGUCCUGUAAAUAUCUUCUAUAAUAAAAGAU
RNAcentral lists this long non-coding RNA (439 nucleotides) under Homo sapiens (human). RNAcentral's name for it is "non-protein coding lnc-NIFK-2:4". The record is from RNAcentral. Lineage: Eukaryota; Metazoa; Chordata; Mammalia; Primates; Hominidae.